This 434-nucleotide ribosomal RNA is filed under the name uncultured bacterium. RNAcentral describes it as "partial 16S ribosomal RNA". It matches the Rfam family "Bacterial small subunit ribosomal RNA", at positions 29 to 507 of the family's 1533-position model. The record is from RNAcentral.
AGCGAACGCUGGCGGCAGGCCUAACACAUGCAAGUCGAACGAACCUUUCGGGGUUAGUGGCGGACGGGUGAGUAACACGUGGGAACGUGCCUUUAGGUUCGGAAUAACUCAGGGAAACUUGUGCUAAUACCGAAUGUGCCCUUCGGGGGAAAGAUUUAUCGCCUUUAGAGCGGCCCGCGUCUGUUUAGCUAGUUGGUUGAGGUAAUGGCUCACCAAGGCGACGAUCAGUAGCUGGUCUGAGAGGAUGAUCAGCCACAUUGGGACUGAGACACGGCCCAAACUCCUACGGGAGGCAGCAGUGGGGAAUCUUGCGCAAUGGGCGAAAGCCUGACGCAGCCAUGCCGGGUGAAUGAUGAAGGUCUUAGGAUUGUAAAAUUCUUUCACCGGGGACGAUAAUGACGGUACCCGGAGAAGAAGCCCCGGCUAACUUCGUG